GGUCUGUGCAGGGCGGCGCUCACCGUCCUUCUCCUCGAUGUCCACGAGCUUGGUGAUGAAGUCCUUCAGCUGCGCCACGCCCUGGCGCACGGUGGGCUGCAGCGGCUCCAUCCAAGCCUCCUUGGCCCUGGAAGCCGGCGUGUCCAUGUUGCCCACGUUCUGGACUGCCUGGAGGUGACAGCAGGAAGGACCAGGUUCUGCUAGGUUUAACUGACGCUGCUGCACUGGAUACCCCACCCCGGUGCCGGGCACAUAGGUGCAGCCUGAGAGUAAGCAGACCCGGGUUGGAAGGUCCCGCGAUUCACCACCGACAGGAUGGGCGGCCUUGGCAACCCCCGACCCCUCGCAGGCCUGUUCCCUUAUCCAUGAGAUGGAGCUCGGACAAGGUGGCCACAGGAAGGCUUUGCAAACUGUGAAGUGCAGUGCCUACGUGGGCGUGCCAGUGGCCUCGCCGGAGCCGGUAGGGAACACUCUGCAGUCCAGGCCAGGGCCCCGGUAGGACACCCAGCUGUGCAUCCCGCCCGUGGCCGCAAGGCCCGCACCUUAGCCAAC
Molecule: long non-coding RNA, 552 nt
Filed under: Homo sapiens (human)
Lineage: Eukaryota; Metazoa; Chordata; Mammalia; Primates; Hominidae
Description: LHRI_LNC1323.2
Source: RNAcentral